Pogona vitticeps (central bearded dragon) is the source of this 2193-nucleotide non-coding RNA. NCBI's taxonomy places the organism in Eukaryota, Metazoa, Chordata, Lepidosauria, Squamata, Agamidae. The record is from RefSeq and is a predicted model, not a curated record.
AAUCGCCGAAGGAGGGAGGUGGCUCAGAAAUUUGGCCAGUUUCUAAUGGGCAAAGGGAAUGUGCUCCAGAGGUCAAUAAAGCCCUCCAAAAUGAUGAAUGAUUGAGUACCUGUGAUGAUGAUAGUGAUUACCGGAGCAAUUAAACAGUUUGAUUAAAUGAGCCAUCAUAACAAUGAUGUCUGCGGGAAAUCAGCCCUCACAUAUAAAGAAAGAUAGCGAGGGGAGAGAGAGAGAGAAAGAGAGAGAGAGAGGCUGGCUGGCUGGCGAACGCCAUCGGGCACGGCGUCGCUUUCCGAGAGCGCUCGGCGUGAGGAACGGGGCUGAGGGCGCGCCGUUCCCCCGACAGCCGGGCGCAGAGGCGGAAAAGUAUCGCCCAGACUUCAAGCCACACUUGCGCGCACUCUUGAACCACCUUCUGGAGCUCGAGAGCCAGACCCAGUGGGCUGCUUUUUGCUUGUCUUCCUCCCUCUUUUUCCCCCCUCCCCUUCCUUUCCCCUCUAGAGGACCUCUUCCAAGAUUAAAGCCAUUCUUAAGAGCAACCACUAUCCUCUCUGGCUGAGUUGCCCCGGACCGUAUAGAAAGAGCCGGGUCAUAACCAAAUACGGCUUCCCGAGGGGAAAAUGUGUAAAGAUUGCGCCCGCCCACCCCUUUUCUCCCGUCUGAAUCCCAAACCGCGCCUGGUGUUGGCUCCUUCCUCUUGAAGUUCAGGCAUCUUAUCUGCCCAAAAGCGCUGUCUGGAGGUUGGCUCGGGCUGGGGCGGCUUGAGUGAAGACCACCGCCCGGCUUCACCUAAGGGAUCUUCAGGUGAACACACAUAUUUUGGAAAAAAAUGAGACGUCUUCUCUUCCCCCCCCCCCCCCCAAUAGAGAUAGCAUGAUUAGAGCGGUCAGGUUCUCCCACCACCCCAAGGAAGGAGAAAUAUAAAAGUUAGGCGAGCAGAGGGACCAGGCGGGGGAGGGGGGGAUUAGGUUCCAGCCCUUGGAAAUGCUAAGGGUGAGGGUCCCGCCCCGGUCCGGAAAUAGUUCCCGCCCUACCUGGCAGCCCCCUCCCAAAAACCUCCUCCCCAGCAACUAAAGUGGAGGGCAGGAGAGGCGAUCCGCCAGCCAGCUAACCGACCGGCCGCGGCAGCGGCUCUUUUCUUUUGCCCGUCUUCCGCGCUUAAGCAGGAAAAGAAAGCCGGCACAAUGGCCGGUCGGUUGGACGGGUGGAUCGCCUCUCCUGCCAUCCACGGUAGCUGCUGGCGGCGAGGAGAGAGCAGAGCCACCGUCCGAUCCAGCAGCACCUGAAAAGUGGACUGGGAUCGAUCCGGCAAAGCGGGAAGUCAUCGCAAACUCCCUGUCCGUUAGCGCCUCAUCGACACGUCGGGGGUAAAAGGGUGGAUGGCAGGGCCCCUCCCCAUUUUAAUACGUACAAUAUAUGCCUAUAUCAUCUGAUCUAUAGAAAUGGUAUGAGUUAUGAAAAGGAACGGACGGACCGAGUAGGAAGCCAGCGUCCCAUGUAGCCCAGCCUGCGGGUCCGCCUUGGCUUUCUUUUGGGGGGCGGCCCGGCGGCAGCGAAACCGGUUCCAAGCGCUGCCCGUCCUUUCCACGACGAGCCCCUUGUAAAGCAUUUAACAGCAAUUAUGCCUUAAUCAGCUGGAAUGUUGGCCACAAAUGACGCUAUUAAACAUCAAAGGCAUGCCUGAGACUUUACCUUUUAGCCAUAAGCGGAUUAAUUUCUCUAAUUAGAGGGGAUAAAUAUGUGCAUAAAUAAAUAUCUCUCUCCACUAUCAGUUCUCCUCCACUGUGGGGUGGGGUGGAGGGGCGGGGAGGAGGAGGCCGCGGCCCGUUUGGUUUUUGGUUUGGUUGAAAAAGAAAAGAAAAAAAGUUUGACCGCCUCUUGAGUUCUUAACGUGGCCUGAGAGGGAGUGAGGAGGGGGUGAGGAGGUGCCCACAAUCCCACCCCUCACCAAAACAAGAAGAUCGCCUCACUCCUCCCCCCGAAAAAAAUCAGCGGAUCCAAGAACCGGGGACGGCGUCCUUCUGAGGAGAGGGCGAGGAUGGCUUUCCUUUGGGAGAGGGCGGAAGUGUGGGAGGUUGUCGUUGUUUCGGGAUCCGAUGUACUGCCUUUCUUCCCCUCCUCCCCCCCCCCGAAAGAUCAAGGCUGAGUUUAUUUCCCCCUCCCCCGCCUUCAAUAAAAUCUGCCUGACCUUGA